GAGCCAGCACACACUGCACUGCUAAGGCGGAGGCUGCGCCAGAGGUCCGCGGAGACGAUCUAGAGCCUAAGAAUUACUGAACUCCGGUCUCUGCGGAGGAUGUUUUCUGCGUGACAGUGGCGCUCAGGCUGCCUCCUGAUGUAGGCCGGACUGUGCCCACACGACAGGAUUUAUACAGUCCUAACCCAGGCUGACCCCCACACAGACAGAUCUCAAAUCAGGACCCUGUCUUUCUCUCAUCACAGCCUUUACAUCACGCUCACCCCCCAAAGUCCCGGCCAGUCUAGGAUCUCGCAGAUUUCUCGCGUGACUUUAUAUCAUACCGAACGUGGCGAACAACAUCGAGGCACAGGUUGCUUUGGUGUUUUCAUUUAUUUAUUUUUUUUUUUUUCAGUUGUCUAUGCACUUUGCAACGAAAGGCUGAACAGGACAAGUUUUCUACAACAUUGAUAAGAAUAAAAUAAGCUAUAUCUUUAAUUUAAAUAAGCAAUUUAAUAGAGGUAGCUGUGGAAAUUAGUCUUAUAAUAGCAGUGGAAUGUGGAUCAAAUUUUAUCCUUACAUUCAGCUCAGAUUUCGUUCCACGUUCCCACCGCACUGAAGGAUGUUGAGUUGUAAAUACUGAACAUGUUUAAAGCUACACUAUGUAUGCUUUGGGGAUUUGGAGACCUCUCUGGUAGAAACGUGUAAUUGCAUGCAACAUGCAGAAGAACGUUUUAUGUCAUGUCAGUUGUGCGGGUGAAUCUGAUGAUUGUGAGCGUGUUGGAAGAGGAUUAAAAGAGAACUCAAUCAAAACUUGGAGAAGGUGGCCCCUGAGGAUGUAAGUGAAUUAUUGUCAUCAUAUCCUUAUCAGUAUAAUGUUGAUUUCACAUUUGAGACCUAAACAAAAAGCCAGAGUUAGUACGAAAAGACUCAGUAAUGUUACUUCUUUCCAUUUUAAUAAAACGUCUUACAUAGUGGACCUUUAAUAUUUAUGAUUCUAAAUUGGUGCAGCCAUGACUGAACUGUGAGUAGAUAAUUGUUUAAGACUGGCCUAAAAUUGGGACACCUUUUGUAAUUGUCAUGAGGGGAAAUCGGCCUCAGAUUGUCCUGUAGUAUGGGCCAGGCUGUAGAUUUUCUAUGAUAAUUUUACCAUUAUGCUGAGUUGGAUGCACUGCAUGUAACUAACAGCAUACACUACUUAUUAGCAUAUAUUGCUCAAAUCUCCAUUUUUUUAAAAAAUAUUACUGUGAACACUUUGAACAAACUCACUCCUGUGCAAAGAAAAAUGGGCCAAGCCCAAGCUUUUAAUGGUCUUAACAACAAAUCACUACAAUAAAAGUUGAAGCAACUUUAUGACAAAUGUUUUUCUCUUUGAAAUCCUGUGAGUGAAUUUACAAACAACUUACUCAGAUUUGUCAGUGAUUCUGAGUUAAAUUUUAUUGCUUAUAAACAUGAACAGUAAAAACAAGCUUAAUGAUUAGCCUAGUUACUGCUGUAGUAAGACUUACAAUGUGCUCAGAAGUGGCCAAUUAUAAAUCUUGACUGAAUAACCUGAAUAAUUGAAGAAAUCCUGCUCAGAAUUCUGUGUGGUGCGAUGACUCAGUUACCAGCAUGGCUGUAUGAGGAAUGUGGCACCUCCUUAUCAUGGGCACUACUGGUAGACCUGUUUCCAUUUCUGUCACAAAAAAGUGCUGUAUUCAGAGACACUUCACUUUUCACAUCUCUCAGUCUGCACUGGAUUUCUGAAAGAACUUGAAUCUGCUAAGAGAAUGACGUGAAUGACGUGCCAGGUGAUGUGACUGGUCUCAGGGGGAGUUCUUUGGUGAAGGGCCAGGCGAGGAUUCAAAGCCUGGAGCCAGUGAGUCACAGUCCUCCUCCUAGAGAAACGUGAGCGCGUGUGGGAGACACCCACCCGUCCUCUCUAUCUCCUCCCUACACUCCCCUGAAAAUCAUAAUUCAUGCAAACAGGAUCAAGGACAACAUGUUUCUUCCUCUCUCUAUCUCUAAGGGAGCUUGCUCUCUUUCUCCUCCAUCUAUCACUCUCUCUCUCUUUCUCCCUCUCCCCCUUUCACUCUCUCUCACAUCAUAUUUAACACAGGAACACUAAAGACCCAGAGAUAAACAGUAAACACUAUGACGUCUUGACUGCGUCAGUGGUAUCGUUCAGACCGUUUAACAACCGGGUGCAAACAUGUCUGGUUUUAAAUGUGGACUGUCUUCUGGGAAUGUGUCUUAAUCUGGCCAGUAAUGGGCAGGUCCUGUGCUAACUGUUUUUAAGAGAGAUCUGCAGAGCACCUUGUGGUGGUGAGUUGACAGGGUGUGUGGUGUACUUUUGUUUUAUGGCAGCAUGAGGAGAGGUGUGGCUCAGCAAUAGAGAGGGAGAAGGAGAGAGAGAUACUGACAACUAAUCAAAAGCACUGAGAUAGCAGGGGUUGCAGUGUAGUUGCUGGUGUCCCUCUCUCUGUAUUCACUGAGUUGCCUGUUUAUUAAGUACACCUACUUGGACGUUUUAUCAGAAACACUUACCACAUAGGUACACUUUGUAGGUAUACAGUCACUGACUGUAGCCUGUCCAUUGCUGCACAAUUCAUCAGCCACCCUCAACUGCAACGACACACAGAAAGGGGCCACCGCAGGACCACCACUGACAAGAUAUUAUUUGUUUGCAAGAUCAUUUUCAGUAGACUCCAGCAUUUUAGUGGGUGUUGCACUGGUACAAGUAUAUCAGGCAUGGCUGUGUUGUCAGGGUCAUGAACUGACCACAGGCCACUCUUGGCUGAAUAACCAGCCAUUAAUUAUGCGUACACAUGCCACUAUGGUGGUCCUUUUCCAUUGAUGGACAGGGUAGAUGGAGGCUGAUAAAUUGUGCAGCAAGAGAUUAAACCUGCACAGUGCACCUGCGUUUCUGAUAAAAUGGCCAGUAGUGUUGCUACAAGGUAGAUAAACCUAAUGAACUGUUCAUAUUGAGAGAAUUAUUAUUCAGCACUGUCUUCUGACUGUCCUGCUGGGAGAAAUUUAUAUGCUGCUAAAAACAGUAGAGGUGACCCACCUGCUGGGCCACUGGCUGACUCAGUGGUCAGUCGCAGCCUCCUGGUGUCUCAUUGUCAGUUCUCAGUUGUUUACCACCUCUGUGAGCUGAGUUGACAGUGGCACAGGUUUUGGCGCAUUGUUUGAGUCCAAAGCAUCACAGCCUCGCACCACAUCACAUGAACGUUUAGGGAGAAAACAGACACGCUGUGUUUACUAGGGGCUUUCUGAUAAGUACAUUUCAAGGCCACUUGACACUCUUAAAAAUGGUUUCUUCGAGUGAUUAAAGAACGAUGUUUGGUUCCCUGAACAACCAUGUCUGAAAAAGACAUUUGUGAAUGUGAACAACCUUUUAAUAGUUUAAAGCAUCUUCACAUAAUGUAAAUAUUCUGUGCCAAUUUAUGGGUUCUUCUUAGAGCCUUUACAUUAUGUAGAGGUUCUUUACACUUGAAAAAGAUGCUUCACACUCACACAUCUCAUCUACAGAAAUGGUUCUCCAAAGCACCAUUGACUGAAAUCCAUUUAAAGUGCGAAGAACACUUUUUGGCACCCUUAUUUUCAAGAGUGUAGGAGACAGGAGGAAUGAUAAAACCUUCACAACUGAUCUGAUAGUAUAACUCUUAUCAUAACAAUGCCUUCGCACACCUGCCACUGUCUCUUGGAUUUUUUGUCUCUUUAAUUGUUUACACAAAACAAUUAUAGUACAAUUAUCACUUGUCUAUAAGAACUACUGUGCAGCAUAGACUAAAUUCCUGCUAACUUGCGGAAAAGUCCAAAUGGAGACAAAAACAUGAUUAUGGUGCAUUUGAGAUUACAGUGCUGCUUCGAGAUAAUUAUGGGUUUAUUGUAUUUAAUUAUAGAUUUUGGAGAAUCACAUGAGGCCUCCGAGUCUUACUGUAACAAGCAUAAAAAGCGCUCAGGGAACUGAACUUUUACUAACUCCACCACCCACUCACUCUGCCACGAUCCUCAGGUAGGAUCGAUCUUCACUCCAGUUGAAUAGAGAGAGCACUUCCUUUCACAGCGGAGCUGAAAGCUUUCUCACCGUGACUGAAUUCAUCUCUAAAUAAACCACAAAAGCUUUGAAGGUCGCCACUGGCAUGACUCUUUUCACAACCUGCAAUUACAAGGGUCCUUGCACAUGACACAUUCCAGCAUGGGUUUUUGCCUCCACACACACGCUCUGCAUGGUGCUCGUCUUCUCGUUCGUGUGUAAGGGUCUGAGAUGAGUCAGAGGUGGGAAGUGGUGUGGUGAUUUGCGGGUGCUGUCAGACAGGCCGUAUGAUUCAGAGGCUGAUGGAGAGAGAGCGGCGAUUGCAGCUGUGAUCUUUCUCUUUCAUUCCCUUACUCUCAUUCAGAAAAUACAGGGAAAGGCACUUCAGGCCAGGCGCAUAGCGGACAGCGUAGGGGCUCAGGAUAUGGAGGCUGUUUUCUCUGUGCAUGAUGGAGAAUGUGUGAGGUGCAUAUGAGGAUUUGUCCUCUACCUCACUUUAGAGCAAGUGGGAUAUAAAUAACACACAGCCAAAUGGAAAUGGAAAAUAUUGGAAUAUAUGCUAUCAAUACAAAAUGUAAAUAUACAGUACUGUGCAAAAGUCAGAGACCACACUUCCUUUAGCAUAAAUGCCACAAACUCCUAAAACUGAACUUCGGAGGUCUAGAAAAACUUCCCUGUGGAUUUCUUUGAAAAACUGAAAACAAGUCUCUUAAAAAGAAAAGACAAAAGGUGCACACACAAAAUACUGAAAACAUAAGACAUUGACAUAAGAUUUAGUUAUUGAGACUUCUGUGUAAUUCUCUGCUAAACAUACAUUGGGGUCCAAAAGUCUGAUACCACAACAGAACAUUUUAUUAAAAUAAAAAAAUAAAUAAAUAAAACAAAGUAAAAUAAGUUAUGACAAAUAAAAUGAAGAAGAAAUAUUCAAGAUUCUGUACUAUUUCAGGGUCAUUGUUCUAAAUUAAGCCAAUUUGUAACACUGGCCAUGUUGAGGCCUUAGGAUAAAAAAGUUCAUAAUUCAUUUUAGUCUUAUCUCUCCCAGCAAAGGACGUGCUCAGACGACUCUCAGGAGGAUUUGAUCUACUCAUCAGAUGUUUUUGUACAAACUUCUGGCAUCUGUGCCACAGAAACUUUUGGCAUCUUUCCAUUAAAUUAGAAAGGAAAGCAAAAGAGAAGCAUUUUCACUAGUGAGACUUUUGGACCCCAAUGUGUUCUGCUUUUUUCUUAACACUGAAAAAUAAAUAACUUCUACUCAAUGGCUGUUUUGACUAUAAAUUCAAUACAUGAAGGGUGGUCUCUGACUUUUUCACAGAACUGUAUAUGUAAUAUCAUGAAAAGAACAACUUUGACUAAAAUUGAAUAAAGUUGACUUUGUGAAACACUCCAGUAGGUGGAGGGGAGCACUUACUCAAAUAUAAAGUUAAGUGUUUGUGUGUUGUGUUGUGUUUGUUUGUGUUUGUGCAUACAUAUAAAGUUGAACAUUUGAAUGGAUGGACCCUUCUAAGCAAGAUUACAAGUAAUCAACAUGAGCACAAACAUAAAGACACACACACACAGAGAGGGAGAGAGAGAGAGAGAGGUUUUCUCUGCUGUGUGUGGUUAUGAUAGCUCCUUGCUGUGGUCUCAUUUGCAUAAUAGAAAAAAGUGAGCUAAAGAUGCAUCAGGUUUUUUAACAGCUUCUUGCCUCAUGGGUUGGUCAGCAGCAGCCUGAUACUCCAUCUGGCAGGAUUAUUCCAGAAAGAGCCAUCAUCGCUCUGGGAGGAAAUCCAUGUGCUGGGGAGGCAGGGGGAGAUGUGCAGUUAUUGAUUAUGUAACUGGGCCUAAGUCAGCUGUACAUAACAGGCUUUUAAAACGUUCUGCUCUGGCCCAACUCCACUCCCCACUCAAAUCACACAGUCCACAUUAUAAACACUUACUGAAUUAGUAAAGCAACCUGCAUAAUUAAAAUGGCUGACCACAGCAGAGCCAGAUGCUGAGGUGGUGUUUGUUAUGAAGCUAGUGAAUGGGCAAUCAUGCGGCCUUUCACUGAGAACAUGUGUGUAUGUGUGUUCUCUCCAGAUGGUCUGAUUGCUUCUCUUUAGAGCACGCCGGCCAGAUGUACCUCUGCCAUUAUGCGGGUUUUGAUGUCCUCGCUGCUCUUUUAAGGACUGGUCAGCACUGAUGUGGCCGCACAUGGAGCCCAUUUGUUGGAUGCCUGUCAUACCCACCUUUUAGCUCUUACACAAAGUAUGCUGAAAAAAAAAACACUGGAUGCGACAGGGAGCUAGUGCCUAGUUUGUGUUUGUUAUAUAUAUAUAUAUAUAUAUAUAUAUAUAUA
Long non-coding RNA from Colossoma macropomum (tambaqui), 6317 nucleotides. RefSeq lists it as uncharacterized. The record is from RefSeq and is a predicted model, not a curated record. NCBI's taxonomy places the organism in Eukaryota, Metazoa, Chordata, Actinopteri, Characiformes, Serrasalmidae. The transcript has 2 exons.